Zea mays is the source of this 355-nucleotide long non-coding RNA. RefSeq lists it as uncharacterized. Lineage: Eukaryota; Viridiplantae; Streptophyta; Magnoliopsida; Poales; Poaceae. The record is from RefSeq and is a predicted model, not a curated record. The transcript is spliced from 2 exons.
CAACACACUAACCAACCUCCCAAGUACAAAGCAUACCAAUAUAUUUUGUGGGUUGUGGCACUCGUCUUGCUGUUAGUUGGGUUUGUGAUUUCACUGGUGAUGCUUUUCAAAGGGAAGAACGGGAACGAUGGCUGCCAUUGGUGCCACUACCUGAACUGCGUGCCAACAUCCAAGUGGAAGUGUAACACCUAGACACCUCAGUUUUCUGUUACACUCGGGGGCAAAAAUGUAGUAUCCAGAUUUACAAGACCAUUCUCUAUGUUUGUUUGUCUGUAGAUAUGAACAAGUUCUUUGUCGUUUACUGGUUUUGAGUUUCCUUGCCUAUGUAAACUGCUUCGUUGAGCGUUCUAUGUUU